GAUCCGGUGGUUCCGCAUGGAAGGGCCAUCGCUCAACGGAUAAAAGCUACCCUGGGGAUAACAGGCUUAUCUCCCCCAAGAGUCCACAUCGACGGGGAGGUUUGGCACCUCGAUGUCGGCUCAUCGCAUCCUGGGGCUGAAGUAGGUCCCAAGGGUUGGGCUGUUCGCCCAUUAAAGCGGUACGCGAGCUGGGUUCAGAACGUCGUGAGACAGUUCGGUCCCUAUCCGUCGCGGGCGUAGGAAAUUUGAGAGGAGCUGUCCUUAGUACGAGAGGACCGGGAUGGACACACCGCUGGUGUACCAGUUGUUCCGCCAGGAGCAUCGCUGGGUAGCUACGUGUGGACGGGAUAAGUGCUGAAAGCAUCUAAGCAUGAAGCCCCCCUCAAGAUGAGAUUUCCCAUGGAGUUAAUCCAGUAAGACCCCUUAGAGAUGAUGAGGUUGAUAGGUCUGGUGUGGAAGCGUGGCGACACGUGGAGCUGACAGAUACUAAUCGGUCGAGGACUUAUCCA
RNAcentral lists this ribosomal RNA (509 nucleotides) under Halalkalibacter nanhaiisediminis. Its description in RNAcentral is "Bacillus nanhaiisediminis partial 23S ribosomal RNA". It matches the Rfam family "Bacterial large subunit ribosomal RNA", at positions 2417 to 2925 of the family's 2925-position model. Lineage: Bacteria; Bacillati; Bacillota; Bacilli; Caryophanales; Bacillaceae. The record is from RNAcentral.